UGGGUUAUAGCUCAGUAGUAGAGUGCAUGCUUAGCAUGUGUGAGGUCCUGGGUUCAAUCCCCAGUACUUCCA
This is a transfer RNA of Camelus ferus (Wild Bactrian camel), 72 nucleotides long. It matches the Rfam family "tRNA". From Rfam's summary of the family: Transfer RNA (tRNA) molecules are approximately 80 nucleotides in length. Their secondary structure includes four short double-helical elements and three loops (D, anti-codon, and T loops). NCBI's taxonomy places the organism in Eukaryota, Metazoa, Chordata, Mammalia, Artiodactyla, Camelidae. The record is from Rfam.